UGCAUGUCUAAGUAUAAGCACUUGUACUGUGAAACUGCGAAUGGCUCAUUAAAUCAGUUAUCGUUUAUUUGAUUGUACCUUACUACAUGGAUAACCGUGGUAAUUCUAGAGCUAAUACAUGCGAAAAGUCCCGACUUCUGGAAGGGAUGUAUUUAUUAGACUAAAAACCAAUACGGGCGUCCUUGGGCGUCCCGUUCAUGUGGUGAUUCAUGAUAACUUCUCGAAUCGCACGGCCUUGUGCCGGCGAUGUUUCAUUCAAAUUUCUGCCCUAUCAACUGUCGAUGGUAAGGUAGUGGCUUACCAUGGUUACAACGGGUGACGGAGAAUUAGGGUUCGAUUCCGGAGAGGGAGCCUGAGAAACGGCUACCACAUCCAAGGAAGGCAGCAGGCGCGCAAAUUACCCAAUCCCGACACGGGGAGGUAGUGACAAGAAAUAACAAUCCGUGUCUAUAUAUUAGACGCGAAAUUGGAAUGAGUACAAUUUAAAUCCUUUAACGAGGAUCAAUUGGAGGGCAAGUCUGGUGCCAGCAGCCGCGGUAAUUCCAGCUCCAAUAGCGUAUAUUAAAGUUGUUGCAGUUAAAAAGCUCGUANNUGGAUUUCGGGAUGGGCCAGUCGGUCUGCCGCAAGGUAAGUUACUGGCUGGUCUGUCCUUCUUCGCAAAGACUGCGCGUGCCCUUAACUGAGUGUGCGUAGGAUUUGCGACGUUUUACUUUGAAAAAAUUAGAGUGUUCAAAGCAGGCUAACCGCUUGAAUACAUGAGCAUGGAAUAAUGGAAUAGGACUUUGGUUCUAUUUUUGUUGGUUUCUGGGAACCGAAGUAAUGAUU
RNAcentral lists this ribosomal RNA (825 nucleotides) under Pelagia noctiluca. RNAcentral describes it as "SSU rRNA". It matches the Rfam family "Eukaryotic small subunit ribosomal RNA", at positions 52 to 870 of the family's 1831-position model. Lineage: Eukaryota; Metazoa; Cnidaria; Scyphozoa; Semaeostomeae; Pelagiidae. The record is from RNAcentral.